ACGAUAAUAUAAAUGAAAUAACCAUUCGAACUUAAAUCGUCUGAGCAUAAAUUACAAUUAACCGUAGCAUGCGUGCGCAUCGCAUGAGCGCACGCACGUGCAACUUACGGUAUUAAAUUCAUUUCUGUAUUUUAUCGAAACGUGAAGAGUAAUGCGUUAGAACAGGAAUGCAGCUUAUUAUAAUAUAUAUUUGCAUGUGAAAGAAGAUUAUCAAUUUCUUAUUUGCUAUUUCUUAUCAAGUUAGCUUAUGUUUCGCUAUGAUUAUUCAGAAGAAUAAAAAGGAUGUGAAUUUAAUAUUGUAAUCCAUGUAUAUAAGUGAACGUUAUUUACCAUGUGUCAACUUUGUUCUUACCGAUGGAUUGGGUGUUGUAUAUCAACUUGUAGCAAUUACCGUCUGCCCGACGGUUAAUUAAGGAUUGGGGCAAUGAGGCCCAGCAAUGCAGUUUCCGUGAUAAUAAUUAUCUGCGAUAGUAAUUGAAUAGGUUGUUACGCCGUCGAGCAAAUCGAGACAUCAAAGAACCUAGAAUAAAAAAGAAUCAAGAAAUUUUUGAUAUUUUAUUUAUGAUUACUCGUCUAUUUUUUAUUUGUAUGUUUCUGAAACAUCGUAAGAUGAAUAAUUCUGGUAGCAAAGUUAGUAAGAAAGGAACGCUUGGUGAGGCGAGCGAGCCUGCAGGCAAAACGGCUGGACGAGAUCAUGUGGAUGUAUGUGAACGUGAACAAGUAAUACGUUCAUAGACGAAGAAAAGGUAAGGGUGGCACGCGCGGCCCGCUUCUAUCGCUUCCGGGCAUCAGCGUGCUCGCGAGCCGCAGCUAAUUGCUCUUUAAUGCAAGCGAGCGAACGAGCGCGUUGCUUUUCUUAGAUGCCGAGGGAAACUGACCGUCGUCGUCCUGUACUCCGUAAAAAAGAGAAUACACGAGAUUUAUGUCGGCCCCCGGACUUUUCGUCACGCUUUGUUUAGGAUACGGUUUUAGUUUUGAGAAAACUCUUGGGGCUUCUUCCUUCUUUUUAAUUGCAACGGGUCAGUUUCAGUUGUUUAUUCAGCUCUGGGCCACUGGCAGUACAUAUAACACUGCAACAAAAAUGAAGGGUAGAAAGCUCGAUUCGCCGAGGCAUGACCAACAGAGUACUGCAAAAGCUCAUACAUAUGUAGACGACUCGGACAUCAGGAACCAUGGGGAGGACCCUCCGGAAAAAUGAAUAUGCAGCCCCAUAAAAGUUUGUUCAUUCGUUCAUUCAUAAUGUCGCCAAGGACGAGACUUCUCUGGCUUGUAGAUUGUCAAGGUAGAAGGGACGAGUAGCAACCCUUCAUCGAAGGAGGUGGCGAAGGAAGAAAGAAGAAAGAGGUGAAGCUAGGAGGGGAAGGGAAAGGAAAGAACGAGGCUGAAUGCGGUGACUGUGACGCUUUCCGGUCAGGUGCCGCCCUGACGAUCCUUCUCCUACCAACUUCCACUUGGAUCCACUCAUUCACUUACUUUUACCCUCCUUCAUUUCUUCCUUCUACAACAUCCUACUCGAUGAAGAAAAAAAAAGAAAAGAAAAUAGAAUGCACACAGAAGAAAAUUAUAUUCCUUUUUAAGUCAAGAUCAUGAGAUUUGAAGAAAAGAAGAAAUGGAAUA
This is a long non-coding RNA of Apis mellifera (honey bee), 1617 nucleotides long. RefSeq lists it as uncharacterized. NCBI's taxonomy places the organism in Eukaryota, Metazoa, Arthropoda, Insecta, Hymenoptera, Apidae. The transcript has 5 exons. The record is from RefSeq and is a predicted model, not a curated record.